Molecule: ribosomal RNA, 490 nt
Filed under: uncultured bacterium
Lineage: Bacteria
Description: partial 16S ribosomal RNA
Rfam family: Bacterial small subunit ribosomal RNA
Source: RNAcentral
ACUGAACGCUGGCGGCAGGCCUAACACAUGCAAGUCGAACGGUAACAGGAAGCAGCUUGCUGCUUUGCUGACGAGUGGCGGACGGGUGAGUAAUGUCUGGGAAACUGCCCGAUGGAGGGGGAUAACUACUGGAAACGGUAGCUAAUACCGCAUAACGUCGCAAGACCAAAGAGGGGGACCUUAGGGCCUCUUGCCAUCGGAUGUGCCCAGAUGGGAUGAGCUAGUAGGUGGGGUAACGGCUCACCUAGGCGACGAUCCCUAGCUGGUCUGAGAGGAUGACCAGCCACACUGGAACUGAGGCACGGUCCAGACUCCUACGGGAGGCAGCAGUGGGGAAUAUUGCACAACGGGCGCAAGCCUGAUGCAGCCAUGCGGCGUGUAUGAAGAAGGCCUUCGGGUGGGAAAGUAAUGUCAGCGGGGAGGAAGGGAGUAAAGUUAAUACCUGUGCUCAUUGACGUUACCCGGAGAAGAAGCACCGGCUAACUCCGUG